UAAUACGAAGGGGGCUAGCGUUGCUCGGAUUGACUGGGCGUAAAGGGCGCGUAGGCGGUUUGUACAGUCAGACGUGAAAUUCCUGGGCUCAACCUGGGGGCUGCGUUUGAUACGUGCGAGCUUGAGUUCGGAAGAGGGUCGUGGAAUUCCCAGUGUAGAGGUGAAAUUCGUAGAUAUUGGGAAGAACACCGGUGGCGAAGGCGGCGACCUGGUCCGAUACUGACGCUGAGGCGCGAAAGCGUGGGGAGCAAACAGGAUUAGAUACCCUGGUAGUCCACGCCGUAAACGAUGUGCGCUGGAUGUUGGGUGACAUAGUCAUUCAGUGUCGUAGCUAACGCGAUAAGCGCACCGCCUGGGGAGUACGGCCGCAAGGUUG
Molecule: ribosomal RNA, 376 nt
Filed under: uncultured bacterium
Lineage: Bacteria
Description: bacterial SSU rRNA
Rfam family: Bacterial small subunit ribosomal RNA
Source: RNAcentral